GGGAAAUAACUGUUUCAAUGAAACUAAAAAGAAAUUCCUUAAUAGGUGAAAAUUCCUUUGAUAUAUAUAAUAGACGAGAAGACCCUAAGAAUUAUACAUUAAAAUUAUAAAUUUAUAAUAAAUUUUUGUUGGGGCAACAGAUUUGGUAAAAUCAAUAACUUAAAGAUUUACACAUUAAGUAUAUUUAAUAAGAAUUUAAUUACCUUAGGGAUAACAGCAUUAUUAAUGUAUUAGAUUGUGACCUCGAUGUUGGACUAGGGACUUUUAAAGUAAGCCAUUUUAAAAGAUUGUUCUGUUCGAACAUAAAAC
This 309-nucleotide ribosomal RNA is filed under the name Partula taeniata. Its description in RNAcentral is "partial 16S ribosomal RNA". The record is from RNAcentral. Lineage: Eukaryota; Metazoa; Mollusca; Gastropoda; Stylommatophora; Partulidae.